UUGUGUCUGUUGUGGGUUGAACCGUAUCCUCCCCAAAUUCAUAUGUUGAGGCUGACUCCCAGUACCUCAGAAUGUGACAGUAUUUGGAGAUGGGAUCUUUAAAGAGGUGAUUAAGUUAAACAGAGGCCAUCAGGGUGGGCCCUAAUCCAAUCUGACUGGUGUCCUUAUAAAAAGAGGAAAUUCAGGCAGGUGAGGAGACACCAGGGACAUGUGAACACAGAGGGAACACCACAUGAGGACAAAGGGAGAAGGAGGCCAUCAGCAAGCCAGGAGAGAGCCUCAGAAGAAACCAACCCUGCUGACACCUUGACCAUGGCCUUCCAGCCUCCAGAACUGAAGGACAAUGUUACAGUCAACUGAUUCCCCAUGGAUGACAGCAGCUAUCUGUUAUAAAGACAAACAAUCCAAUUAGGACCGGCGUAGUUAAUGUAGGAUCCUACAGAAUGAAACGAGCUACUAGAUUGGCUUGGAAAAAUGCUCUCUGCCAGGUCACUUCCUGUCUUCUGUAAGAGGCAUCCACGUAAAAGACGUCUUUCGGAAUCCAGUAUAAGACACACUUUUGUUUCUUCUCAGGAAAAGGUGUGUUUACUUUUUUCCUGGUGUUGAAAAAUACAUACUUGCUUUUCAUUUGGCUGUCACGAUCUUAGAGACAAACUUAAAGAUCAUUUCUAUCCAUUGAGUAGCCCAUUAUGGCCAAUGUUUUGUGUUCCUUACUUGGUCUUAACAUUCCUCCUGUUAUUUCUAUUGUUUACCUGAAUCCAAUUAUUGUCUAUUUUAUGAUUUUUUUGACUUCUACUUACAAGCUGUUUUAAAUUCUUUAUGAGAUGAGGCAGGCAAUAAAUACAUACAUAUAUAUAUAUAUAUAUAUAUAUAUAUAUAUAAAUAAUUUAGCAAAUGUAGAAAAUGGAUGAUAUUUCAUCCUGUGAAUUAAAUAAAAAAGAAAUCUUGUAACACUUAUAGGAGAUGGUAGAACAGCCUAUCAAAUAAGGUGUAUCAGUUAUGUAACAAACCACUCCAACAUGUAGUGGCUUAAAAUAACAACCAUUUUAUUAUUGCUCAUGAGUCUGCGUUAGCCAAGCAGUUCUGCGGUCAGCUGGUGGGUCAGCUAGGGUUCAAUGGUCUAAGGUGACUUCCUUUGUGAGAUGGCGGUUGUCAGGCUGCUUGGGCUAGUGGGCCUCAGCUGGGUGACUUGUCUCAGCUUUGCUUGAUCUCCUAUACUUCAGGAGACUAGCUUGUACUUUUUCAUGGGUGGUCUCAGGGCAGCAAGAGAUGAUAAACGACAUUGAGUAAGCACGUUUCUUGCCUCUGCCUAUGUCACAUUUGCUAAUAUCCAUUUGGCCAAAGCAAAUUAUGUAGCCAAGGUGCGACUUAAGUGGUGGGGAAAUAGAUUUCACUUCUUUAUGGGAACAAUGGCUAUGUCACAUUGCAAAGGGGCAAGAAUACCAACAUGAAAAUAAUUUGUGGCCAGUUGUAACCCACCACACAAGUAUAGAUUAAAUAAAGACUAAUGGGUCUUUAAUAAAGAACAAAUGGGAAUGAGUCAUUAGUGUUUAUUGAGCACCUGCUGUGUGCAAAGUCGUGCACAUAGAGCAUUAGGUUUAGGGGAAGAAGGUUGUUUCAACUACACAAUUUGAGAGUUAGUGACAGAGCAUUUUCUGUGACAUUGUCUAGGUUCCAUGUGUCUGUUUUAUAAAUUCAUUAACUCCAGUUCCCCCAUCUCUAUCUCAAGAUCAGCCUUGGCAUCUGGGCAACUGAGAGCUGCCAGAAGUUACAUAGUUGGAGUGUCAGGCUGUGAAGCUUUCAGGAUGCUAUAAAUAAAAGAAAUCUGUUAUGGUUUCAGGAAGUUGCAGCUAUGGUUUUGCUUUGUGGAUGAUUGAAGGACCUGCCAAUCUAGGGAUGCAGGAAAUUAAAAUCCACCGUGAGCAUUUAUAGUCUUAUCCUCCUUUGUGAGUUAAGGAUCAAGGAAUUAUAGGAUCUCAGAAAUGGAAAGAAUGUUGAAAGGUCCUAGGGUCCUGUCCUGUUGCCUGUUUGGUUUUCUGACUCCCUCUUAAGUACCUGUUUCUUCAAGGUGGACAGCACGCCCCUGGCUCAGGCUCCCAGUUCUGGUUCCUGACUCAGCUGUCUCUCCCAGACUUUGAAACUGCGAGCACUACCACUCCUUCCAGACCAUUUCUGGGGUUCUCCCCGCCUUGAAUAGGAUGGACCUGAGGGCUCUGCUGAUCAAGUCUUAGUGAAUGAGGGAGGAGGAAGAGAGGGAAGGAAAGAUCAUCUUUCCCUCUUCUACUGGGUCAGCCAGGGAGAACACCAGAUUCUGAUCCAACACUUACUGAGCACUUAUUCUGCGUCAGAAACUAUGCCAGACAAUUCCACGUAUCAUCUCCUAAUUUAAUUCUAAGGAAUCUCUGGCCAAGAUCAAGUGGAAAUUCCAGACACUAAGCUUGUCACUCUCAGACUCCCAUACAAGGAAAAAAAAAAUUAAGAAAUCAGUUGCUCCCAACACCUCCCAAUUUAAAACAAUUAAAAAUGCCAGCUUUUUCUCUUCCGGCCCCUUGGAUUCCUUCUUCUGGGGUGGGGUGGGGAGGUCUUUGCAUUCUCUCUUGGGGUGAAGAGGGAAGAGGUAAGCUGGGUAUAAACUGUGAUAACUAUGAACCAGCCUUCCUCAGGCUGUAUUCAAUGUGUAUGAACAAAUCGAAACGAGGCUGUUCAUUCAGACACAGAAACCUUUAUGGAUGAAUAUUCACAACCCAUUGACGAGCCCCAUACCCUCAUCCAAAGAUAAGUGCCAAGUUUUUCCCUUAAUUAUACUCUGCACAAAAUAAGAUAUGUAGAAGAAGAGAAUGCAUUUUGAAUUUCUAUUCACUCUCAUCCCUUCUUCUAAUUACACAAAGCAUCUUUUAUAUAGGAAAUCCAGAGACAAUUUUCUGCUUGAGAGUGAGGGCAGACUUUCUUUUGCAAGUCAAUAGUGCAGUUGUUAUGUUGUCAGGUAGAGAUAAAAUGACAUUGUGUAGCAACCCAUUUCUUUACUCUGUGCCUGAGAACUUCUACGUGUCAUAUCGCUUCAAAAAUUUAAAUAGGGAGCUAUGUUCAUUUGGAUGGAGUUCAUGAGUUAUAGGGAGAGGGUGUGUGAUGUCAAUGAUGUAGAUUAAUGGAAAUUCUCUAGAAGGAAGGCCCCCACUAGCCCACUGAGUAGCUGAGUGACAUACCCUCGGUGCCUGUGACUGUCAUUGCUGCCCUGGCGGUGGAUGCUCUUAAACACCAGACCAAGUUUCUGGGAGCAGUGGGGGAAGGAGGGGGUCAUGCGAGCAAAAUGAGAGAGCAUCUUGAUUAAAGCACCAACAGCAGGUAAGAGAGAGCCAGAAAACAACGACAGUGGGCUGAUGCUGAAAAUCACAGGGCAUGGACGUGAAGAAAUGGACCCUGGGGAAGGGGCAAGGAAGAUGAAAGGGUUGCUGGAUGAGGCUCCAGUUGCAUCCUGCAUGGUUAGGGCCACCAGUACUUGGAGGGCCACUUGGUUAUUUUAUCACUACUUUAGUACAUCCUUUACUUUGCUCAGUUUUGAAAUGAUCAUUAAUUGACUAUUGCCUUUAUCUUUAGAAUUCAAACAUCCAUAAACUACCUCUGGGCUGAAGAGUUAGUGAUCUGUAAUAGGAGCACUUAAAUAACACCCAAAGGAUUGUUUCAGAAGGAUUUGAUUAAUUGCUUUAUAAUGAGGAAUAACAGCCCAGAGAUCUAUUUUGUUCACAGGUUUUACCACCACCUGUGGGAGUGUUUGUGAGGCGGAGCUGUCACUCUGGGGAGCCGCCAGAGGGAGGGCUGAGUUGGGGCCUGUGAGAAACCCUGGAGUCAUCCAUGACUCUUCCCUUUCCUUCACACCCCAAAUCCAAACUCUUGGCAAAUCCCUUUGCUCUGGCCUCAAAUACAUGCAGACUCUGACCACUUUCUCCUCAUUUCCAGGGCUGCCACCCUGGCCCAAGCCAAAGCCACCACCUGGAGUUUUGGGAGAACCUCCCAAGUGGUGCUGCUUUCUGCUCUCUCUCUGCUCGUUUCACUAGUAUAGAGCCAGUGUGGUUGCUUUAAAACAAGAGCGAAAUCACGCCAUGUCUCCGUUCAAAGCCCUCCAAUGGCUUAUUGUCCCAAGUCCCUAUGGUGGCCGAGCAGCCGAUACGAGUCGAGCCUCUACUUCUCUCUGACAGCCUCCAGUCCUCUCCCCUCCCUUCCUCCACUCUAGCCACGCCACGCCGACCCGGUAGUUCCUUAAGCAUACCAGGUGGGCUCGGCUUUGGGGCUGUUUCACACGCAGCCCCCCUUCCUGGCAUCUCUCUGCACAGAUCUCCACGUGGCUGCCUCCCCUUCUUUAGGGGUUUGUUCCAAGAUCACUUUCUCGGUGGGUCUGCUUCUCUCCAGGACCAAGUAGGGUUCCUUUCAGGCAAAUCCUACUGUGGACAAGAAAAGAAACUUGGAAUCUAUUUUAGGUUCUGGAAAGUGAUCGAAGACAGGUAGAUACUGAAGAGAGACAAUACUUGGAAGAAGAAAAGCAUUGAGCGAACUGCUCGUUUUUAGAGGUUUUGAUCGGAGGGCAGUCCUCACUGUGCGUGUGUAGAGUAACUAAGUCUCUGAAAGAAAGCCCACAGUCUUUGUGGUUUUGAGCAACCACAGUUAUUUUGGGGAAUCCCAGAAAAACGACAGCAACAACAAAGGAGCCAGAGAAGGAGAGCUCAAAAUUCUGUGAAUAAGCUCUGUCGAAAUCUAACAGGCCUCUGAACCGUGCCAGCGCGGGGCAGGCUGCCAGCAGCCCCCUCAACUCUGUGAGAACUGAACUGAGGCUCGAGCUGCACACAGCCCGAGUGGACUACCUGCCUAAAAGCGAAUCAAGGGGUUCAGCUCUCGGAUAGCUUUCCAUCCCUUCCCUUGUGGUUUGACAGAAGUCUGAAUAAUUGAACUCACUUCUUAAGAUGCUUUGAAACUUCUAAUUGAGAGUGGAGAUAGAUUGAUGAUUAGGAGCUUAGUCAUUCCAAAAUAAUCCUCACAGAAGAAAAAUGAGGAAAUAAUGAGAUUCACUUGAAAAAUGUGUGACUCUCUUAAAUGCCA
This is a long non-coding RNA of Equus caballus (horse), 5088 nucleotides long. NCBI's taxonomy places the organism in Eukaryota, Metazoa, Chordata, Mammalia, Perissodactyla, Equidae. The record is from Ensembl.